GUGCCAGCAGCCGCGGUAAUACGUAGGGUGCAAGCGUUAAUCGGAAUUACUGGGCGUAAAGGGUGCGCAGGCGGCUCCGCAUGUCGGGCGUGAAAUCCCCGGGCUUAACCUGGGAAUUGCGUCCGAAACUAUGGAGCUGGAGUGUGGCAGAGGGAGGUGGAAUUCCACGUGUAGCGGUGAAAUGCGUAGAGAUGUGGAGGAACACCGAUGGCGAAGGCAGCCUCCUGGGCCAACACUGACGCUCAUGCACGAAAGCGUGGGGAGCAAACAGGAUUAGAAACCCUCGUAGUCC
RNAcentral lists this ribosomal RNA (292 nucleotides) under uncultured bacterium. RNAcentral describes it as "partial 16S ribosomal RNA". It matches the Rfam family "Bacterial small subunit ribosomal RNA", at positions 505 to 796 of the family's 1533-position model. The record is from RNAcentral.